AAAACCUUCAACAACGGAUCUCUUGGUUCUGGCAUCGAUGAAGAACGCAGCGAAAUGCGAUACGUAAUGUGAAUUGCAGAAUUCCGUGAAUCAUCGAAUCUUUGAACGCACAUUGCACCCGGUGGUAUUCCGCCGGGUAUGCCUGUCUGAGCGUCAUUUCUACCCUCAAGCCCAAGCUUGGUGUUGGCGGAUCGCCCCCCGCGGCGACCGCUGAAAAUGAAUGGCGGUAGCACCCACAGCCCCUGUAGAGUAAAUAUUCUUACAGAGGGUCUGCGGGCACCAUCAGCCUCGAAACCCCAAGAAAUGAAAGUUGACCUCAGAUCAGGUAGGAAUACCCGCUGAACUUAAGCAUAUCAAUAAGCGGAGGAAAAGAAACCAACAGGGAUUGCCUCAGUAACGGCGAGUGAAGCGGCAACAGUCCAAAUUUGAAAUCUGGCCCUAGGCCCGAGUUGUAAUUUGCAGAGGAUGCUUUUGGAGACGCGCCUUCCGAGUUCCCUGGAACGGGACGCCUGAGAGGGUGAGAGCCCCGUACGGUCGGACGCCGAACCUUUGUAAAGCUCCCUCGACGAGUCGAGUAGUUUGGGAAUGCUGCUCUAAAUGGGAGGUAUACUUCUUCUAAGACUAAAUACCGGCCAGAGACCGAUAGCGCACAAGUAGAGUGAUCGAAAGAUGAAAAGCACUUUGGAAAGAGAGUCAAAAAGUACGUGAAAUUGUUGAAGGGGAAGCGCUCGCGACCAGACUCGUGCCUGCAGUUCAACCGACGUUCUCGUCGGCGCACUCUGCAGGUCCGGGCCAGCAUCAGUUCGCUACUGGGGAAAGACCGCUGGAAUGUGGCUCUUCGGAGUGUUAUAGCCUCGGUGUAAUACCCUCUGGCGGACUGAGGACCGCGCAUCGCAAGGAUGCUGGCGUAAUGGUCUUCAGCGACCCGUCUUGAAACACGGACC
RNAcentral lists this ribosomal RNA (944 nucleotides) under uncultured Hypocreales. RNAcentral describes it as "eukaryotic LSU rRNA". The stretch from base 312 to 944 matches the Rfam family "Eukaryotic large subunit ribosomal RNA", at positions 1 to 667 of the family's 3401-position model. The record is from RNAcentral. Lineage: Eukaryota; Fungi; Ascomycota; Sordariomycetes; Hypocreales.